AGAGAAUCGCUUGAACCUAGGAGGCAGAGAUUGCAGUGAGCUGAGAUCACAUCACUGCACUCCAGCCUAGGCAACAGAG
RNAcentral lists this small nuclear RNA (79 nucleotides) under Homo sapiens (human). RNAcentral's name for it is "partial ncRNA". The record is from RNAcentral. Lineage: Eukaryota; Metazoa; Chordata; Mammalia; Primates; Hominidae.